Molecule: long non-coding RNA, 599 nt
Organism: Gossypium arboreum
Lineage: Eukaryota; Viridiplantae; Streptophyta; Magnoliopsida; Malvales; Malvaceae
Exons: 2
Source: RefSeq, a predicted model, not a curated record
AACAAAGAUUUUUUUUUUGUGUUUCAUUUUCAACCCCCAAUCUUAAAAAAAAAAAAAACUUUCAUGCUCUCUUCCCCUCCCCCUUUUUCUUUCUGUCGAUUGGGUUCCUUAGAGACCCGCCCUACCGCCAACGACGACGGCGGUGACCGCCGUGUACAGCGAAGGAGCGCAACCUAGGGUAUGGGGGUGACUGGUGGAGCAGGUGAUGGUGGCUGGUGUCAGAGGAAAGUGGGGAGGUGACUAGGGUUUUUUUCUUUGCUGGAAAAUGUUUAGUAGGUUAGUUUAGGUGGGCUGUUGGUUUAGAUUAGGUUUAAUAAUGUUGAGCUGAUGAAAUUGCGGUGAAUAUUUGAUUAUAUUUGGGUCAAAAUUAGCCUACAACAAUAGUCUCUUUAAUUCCUGGAGUUCUACUCCAUUAAAGACGACAUUUAACGUCUUGGAGUUGAAGUUGCCUACCUUAUCUUAAUAAUUUAGGUAGUCUAUGGCUUGGAUGUCCUUACACCGUCAACUUCAAUUGCCGGUGGAUCUCAACUAGUAAGCACUGUCCUCCAUGUCUUCUUAUCGAGGAAACUAAUAAAUGUAAUCAUGUGUGUUUUUUAAAA